AGUGAACGCUGGCGGUAGGCCUAACACAUGCAAGUCGAACGGCAGCACAGUAAGAGCUUGCUCUUACGGGUGGCGAGUGGCGGACGGGUGAGGAAUACAUCGGAAUCUACUUUUUCGUGGGGGAUAACGUAGGGAAACUUACGCUAAUACCGCAUACGACCUACGGGUGAAAGCAGGGGAUCUUCGGACCUUGCGCGAUUGAAUGAGCCGAUGUCGGAUUAGCUAGUUGGCGGGGUAAAGGCCCACCAAGGCGACGAUCCGUAGCUGGUCUGAGAGGAUGAUCAGCCACACUGGAACUGAGACACGGUCCAGACGCCUACGGGAGGCAGCAGUGGGGAACAUUGGACAAUGGGCGCAAGCCUGAUCCAGCCAUACCGCGUGGGUGAAGAAGGCCUUCGGGUUGUAAAGCCCUUUUGUUGGGAAAGAAAAGCAGCAGGUUAAUACCCCGCUGUUCUGACGGUACCCAAAGAAUAAGCACCGGCUAACUUCGUG
Molecule: ribosomal RNA, 492 nt
Filed under: uncultured bacterium
Lineage: Bacteria
Description: partial 16S ribosomal RNA
Rfam family: Bacterial small subunit ribosomal RNA
Source: RNAcentral